Molecule: ribosomal RNA, 361 nt
Filed under: uncultured bacterium
Lineage: Bacteria
Description: partial 16S ribosomal RNA
Rfam family: Bacterial small subunit ribosomal RNA
Source: RNAcentral
CCUACGGGAGGCAGCAGUGAGGAAUAUUGGUCAAUGGACGCAAGUCUGAACCAGCCAUGCCGCGUGCAGGAAGACGGCUCUAUGAGUUGUAAACUGCUUUUGUACGAGGGUAAACGCAGAUACGCGUAUCUGUCUGAAAGUAUCGUACGAAUAAGGAUCGGCUAACUCCGUGCCAGCAGCCGCGGUAAUACGGAGGAUUCAAGCGUUAUCCGGAUUUAUUGGGUUUAAAGGGUGCGUAGGCGGUGGGUUAAGUUAGAGGUGAAAUCCCGAGGCUCAACUUCGUAAUUGCCUCUGAUACUGUUCGGUGAGAGAGGAGUUGCGGUAGGCGGAAUGGAGGGGGGAGCGGUGAAAUGCUUAGAGA